Molecule: long non-coding RNA, 550 nt
Organism: Symphalangus syndactylus (siamang)
Lineage: Eukaryota; Metazoa; Chordata; Mammalia; Primates; Hylobatidae
Source: RefSeq, a predicted model, not a curated record
CCAUGGUACAAGUGCAGUGGGCCUGGAAAAUACAAAUCCAAAGCAGACUUGAGUCUGCUUUUGAUGAUCCAACAUUUGGGUGGGAUGCAAACAUUCCAGUUCAAGGUAUAAACAGCUCUAUCAUGUUGCAUUGUGCUUGAUGACUUGGGGAAUGAUCAUUAUGAAGGUCAGAAUCUGCUGGAGCAAAGAAAGGAGCGGUAUUUAUACCCCAGCAGGACUUGCUUAAAUACAAGGAACGCCAUCUAAUGAAAAUCCCGUGCUGCAGGCUGAGCUGGAGGGAGCAUCGUGAGUGGCUCAGACCCAGGCCUUCAAGGCAAGGGACAGACACCAUCUUACUUGGUUUGCGGUGGAAUAUCUGGAAAAAGCAUUGGUUACAUUUUUUGUAACCCUUGGCUAAUGAGUCCCAGUCGGUGGAGGCUGAGCUAAACACCACACAGGCAGCAGACCAUCAGUUCGCUUCUCAUGAAUGCAAAGAAGAUGUCAUGGAAUCAGGUCUUGUCUUUUCAUGUAACCUGGCAGCUAAUUUCUCCCUUAAUUAGUUACAACACCA